RNAcentral lists this non-coding RNA (32 nucleotides) under Trypanosoma brucei brucei. Lineage: Eukaryota; Euglenozoa; Kinetoplastea; Trypanosomatida; Trypanosomatidae. The record is from RNAcentral.
AAAAUUUUAAUAGUAAUGUGGUUUUGAGAUAU